GUGCCAGCCGCCGCGGUAAUACCAGCACCCCGAGUGGUCGGGACGAUUAUUGGGCCUAAAGCAUCCGUAGCCGGUUCUGCAAGUCUUCCGUUAAAUCCAUCUGCUUAACAGAUGGGCUGCAGAGGAUACUAUAGAGCUAGGAGGCGGGAGAGGCAAGCGGUACUUAGUGGGUAGGGGUAAAAUCCGUUGAUCCACUGAAGACCACCAGUGGCGAAGGCGGCUUGCCAGAACGCACUCGACGGUGAGGGAUGAAAGCUGGGGGAGCAAACCGGAUUAGAAACCCUAGUAGUCC
Molecule: ribosomal RNA, 292 nt
Filed under: uncultured bacterium
Lineage: Bacteria
Description: partial 16S ribosomal RNA
Rfam family: Archaeal small subunit ribosomal RNA
Source: RNAcentral